Molecule: ribosomal RNA, 459 nt
Filed under: uncultured bacterium
Lineage: Bacteria
Description: partial 16S ribosomal RNA
Rfam family: Bacterial small subunit ribosomal RNA
Source: RNAcentral
CCUACGGGAGGCAGCAGUGAGGAAUAUUGGUCAAUGGUCGGGAGACUGAACCAGCCAAGCCGCGUGAGGGAGGAAGGUCCAGAGUAUCGUAAACCUCUUUUGUCAGGGAACAAAGGCGGGGACGUGUCCCCGGAUGAGUGUACCUGAAGAAAAAGCAUCGGCUAACUCCGUGCCAGCAGCCGCGGUAAUACGGAGGAUGCGAGCGUUAUCCGGAUUUAUUGGGUUUAAGGGGUGCGCAGGCGGUCUGUUAAGUCAGCGGUCAAAGCCCGGGGCUCAACCCCGGCCCGCCGUUGAAACUGGCAGGCUCGAGUGGGAGAGAAGUAUGCGGAAUGCGCGGUGUAGCGGUGAAAUGCAUAGAUAUCGCGCAGAACUCCGAUUGCGAAGGCAGCAUGCCGGCUCCACACUGACGCUGAGGCACGAAAGCGUGGGUAUCGAACAGGAUUAGAUACCCCUGUAGUC